RNAcentral lists this ribosomal RNA (259 nucleotides) under uncultured bacterium. RNAcentral describes it as "partial 16S ribosomal RNA". It matches the Rfam family "Bacterial small subunit ribosomal RNA", at positions 793 to 1055 of the family's 1533-position model. The record is from RNAcentral.
GUCCAUGCCGUAAACGGUGGGCACUAGGUGUGGGGACUUUCAACGGUUUCCGUGCCGAAGCUAACGCAUUAAGUGCCCCGCCUGGGGAGUACGGCCGCAAGGCUAAAACUCAAAGGAAUUGACGGGGCCCGCACAAGCGGCGGAGCAUGUUGCUUAAUUCGAGGCAACGCGAAGAACCUUACCUGGGUUUGACAUGUACCGAAAAGCCAUAGAGAUAUGGUGUCCUUCGGGCGGUACACAGGUGGUGCAUGGCUGUCGU